RNAcentral lists this unclassified non-coding RNA (89 nucleotides) under Pseudomonas lini. The record is from RNAcentral. Lineage: Bacteria; Pseudomonadati; Pseudomonadota; Gammaproteobacteria; Pseudomonadales; Pseudomonadaceae.
UGUGGGAGCGGGCUUGCCCGCGAUGACGGCGGCACAUUCAACAUCUCAGUGAUUGUCAGACCGCUAUCGCGGGCAAGCCCGCUCCCACA